GGGUUGUGAGGUUAAGCGACUAAGCGUACACGGUGGAUGCCCUGGCAGUCAGAGGCGAUGAAGGACGUGCUAAUCUGCGAAAAGCGUCGGUAAGGUGAUAUGAACCGUUAUAGCCGGCGAUGUCCGAAUGGGGAAACCCAGUGUGAUUCGUCACACUAUCGUUAACUGAAUACAUAGGUUAACGAGGCGAACCGGGGGAACUGAAACAUCUAAGUACCCCGAGGAAAAGAAAUCAACCGAGAUUCCCCCAGUAGCGGCGAGCGAACGGGGAGCAGCCCAGAGUCUGAAUCAGCUUGUGUGUUAGUGGAACGGUCUGGAAAGUCCGACGGUACAGGGUGAUAGUCCCGUACACCAAAAUGCACAGGCUGUGAACUCGAAGAGUAGGGCGGGACACGUGGUAUCCUGUCUGAAUAUGGGGGGACCAUCCUCCAAGGCUAAAUACUCCUGACUGACCGAUAGUGAACCAGUACCGUGAGGGAAAGGCGAAAAGAACCCCGGCGAGGGGAGUGAAAAAGAACCUGAAACCGUGUACGUACAAGCAGUGGGAGCACCUUCGGGUGUGACUGCGUACCUUUUGUAUAAUGGGUCAGCGACUUAUAUUCUGUAGCAAGGUUAACCGUAUAGGGGAGCCGCAGGGAAACCGAGUCUUAACUGGGCGUUAAGUUGCAGGGUAUAGACCCGAAACCCGGUGAUCUAGCCAUGGGCAGGUUGAAGGUUGGGUAACACUAACUGGAGGACCGAACCGACUAAUGUUGAAAAAUUAGCGGAUGACUUGUGGCUGGGGGUGAAAGGCCAAUCAAACCGGGAGAUAGCUGGUUCUCCCCGAAAGCUAUUUAGGUAGCGCCUCGUGAAUUCAUCUUCGGGGGUAGAGCACUGUUUCGGCUAGGGGGUCAUCCCGACUUACCAACCCGAUGCAAACUACGAAUACCGAAGAAUGUUAUCACGGGAGACACACGGCGGGUGCUAACGUCCGUCGUGAAGAGGGAAACAACCCAGACCGCCAGCUAAGGUCCCAAAGUCACAGUUAAGUGGGAAACGAUGUGGGAAGGCACAGACAGCCAGGAUGUUGGCUUAGAAGCAGCCAUCAUUUAAAGAAAGCGUAAUAGCUCACUGGUCGAGUCGGCCUGCGCGGAAGAUGUAACGGGGCUAAACUGUGCACCGAAGCUGCGGCAGCGACACUAUGUGUUGUUGGGUAGGGGAGCGUUCUGUAAGCCUGCGAAGGUGGCCUGUGAGGGUUGCUGGAGGUAUCAGAAGUGCGAAUGCUGACAUAAGUAACGAUAAUGCGGGUGAAAAGCCCGCACGCCGGAAGACCAAGGGUUCCUGUCCAACGUUAAUCGGGGCAGGGUGAGUCGACCCCUAAGGCGAGGCCGAAAGGCGUAGUCGAUGGGAAACAGGUUAAUAUUCCUGUACUUGGUGUUACUGCGAAGGGGGGACGGAGAAGGCUAUGUUAGCCGGGCGACGGUUGUCCCGGUUUAAGCAUGUAGGCGGAGGUUCCAGGUAAAUCCGGUACCUUUUUAACGCUGAGGUGUGAUGACGAGGCACUACGGUGCUGAAGUAACAAAUGCCCUGCUUCCAGGAAAAGCCUCUAAGCAUCAGGUAACAUUAAAUCGUACCCCAAACCGACACAGGUGGUCAGGUAGAGAAUACCAAGGCGCUUGAGAGAACUCGGGUGAAGGAACUAGGCAAAAUGGUGCCGUAACUUCGGGAGAAGGCACGCUGAUAUGUAGGUGAAGCCCCUGCGGGUGGAGCUGAAAUCAGUCGAAGAUACCAGCUGGCUGCAACUGUUUAUUAAAAACACAGCACUGUGCAAACACGAAAGUGGACGUAUACGGUGUGACGCCUGCCCGGUGCCGGAAGGUUAAUUGAUGGGGUUAUCCGUAAGGAGAAGCUCUUGAUCGAAGCCCCGGUAAACGGCGGCCGUAACUAUAACGGUCCUAAGGUAGCGAAAUUCCUUGUCGGGUAAGUUCCGACCUGCACGAAUGGCGUAAUGAUGGCCAGGCUGUCUCCACCCGAGACUCAGUGAAAUUGAACUCGCUGUGAAGAUGCAGUGUACCCGCGGCAAGACGGAAAGACCCCGUGAACCUUUACUAUAGCUUGACACUGAACAUUGAGCCUUGAUGUGUAGGAUAGGUGGGAGGCUUUGAAGCGUGGACGCCAGUCUGCGUGGAGCCAACCUUGAAAUACCACCCUUUAAUGUUUGAUGUUCUAACGUUGGCCCCUUAUCGGGGUUGCGGACAGUGUCUGGUGGGUAGUUUGACUGGGGCGGUCUCCUCCCAAAGAGUAACGGAGGAGCACGAAGGUUAGCUAAUCCUGGUCGGACAUCAGGAGGUUAGUGCAAUGGCAUAAGCUAGCUUGACUGCGAGCGUGACGGCGCGAGCAGGUGCGAAAGCAGGUCAUAGUGAUCCGGUGGUUCUGAAUGGAAGGGCCAUCGCUCAACGGAUAAAAGGUACUCCGGGGAUAACAGGCUGAUACCGCCCAAGAGUUCAUAUCGACGGCGGUGUUUGGCACCUCGAUGUCGGCUCAUCACAUCCUGGGGCUGAAGUAGGUCCCAAGGGUAUGGCUGUUCGCCAUUUAAAGUGGUACGCGAGCUGGGUUUAGAACGUCGUGAGACAGUUCGGUCCCUAUCUGCCGUGGGCGCUGGAGAAUUGAGGGGGGCUGCUCCUAGUACGAGAGGACCGGAGUGGACGCAUCACUGGUGUUCGGGUUGUCAUGCCAAUGGCAUUGCCCGGUAGCUAAAUGCGGAAGAGAUAAGUGCUGAAAGCAUCUAAGCACGAAACUUGCCCCGAGAUGAGUUCUCCCUGAGACUUUAAGUCUCCUGAAGGAACGUUAAAGACGAUGACGUUGAUAGGUCGGGUGUGUAAGCGUAGCGAUACGUUGAGCUAACCGAUACUAAUGAACCGUGAGGCUUAACCUUACAACGCCGAAG
RNAcentral lists this ribosomal RNA (2926 nucleotides) under Klebsiella aerogenes. Its description in RNAcentral is "bacterial LSU rRNA". It matches the Rfam family "Bacterial large subunit ribosomal RNA". Lineage: Bacteria; Pseudomonadati; Pseudomonadota; Gammaproteobacteria; Enterobacterales; Enterobacteriaceae. The record is from RNAcentral.